AAUGAAGACGCAUCAAAAUCAAAUAAAAUCCAAACCACAUCAUAUCUUAUUUUACAGGCCAUCGACUUGCUACCCACAAAACUGGCAACACCGUACCAAGCUUCAAAUUUUAUCCCCAAAUUCAAUAAUUGGCAACACCAACCAACCAAUAUGAAAUUGAGAGAGAAUGGUGAUGAGAAAACAGCUUUCAUAAUUACGUCCGUAGAUAAUUUUGGAUUUUCUUAUUACUUUUAUUGGAUUUUGUUGUUCUCUCUCUGUGUGGAAGUUUCAAUGUAAUUAAUGGUUUUGUAGUAUUUUGAGUCAAGAUUGGUGAAUUGCCUUCUCUUUUAAUUGAUCAACUAUGAAAGAUUGUGAUAAGAUUUUGAGGUUCAUACUAUACUAGAGAGUCACUAUCAAGGGUAGACUAGAGUGUUCCAGUUCAAUACAAACAUGGUAAACAUUACUCUCUCUUUCUUUCUCUCUCUGGUUUUUUGUAUGAAAAAUAUUUAGGGUGAUGGAAUGAUGUUUCAGUUCAAGAUCUAUUUUUUACUACCAAAUCAAACCUUGAAGUUAGUUUUAGUGGCUUUUUAAUUAACUGUGAAUGAAACGGUUGAUAUACUAGUAUAUACCGGGAAUAAAGUCAGCAGAAACUAGAGAAUGGUGUUUCCAGAUCUAUAUCUAGUUUUUAUAUGUUUUAAAGUUAAGUGCAUAAGUAGUAGUAGUAAGGAUUGAGAAAUAUGUAUAUUUAAUUGAAUGUGUAGAUAGAUAGAUAUAUGAAACAAGAUGAUGUUCCAACAAUAUAUGACACAUUUUUGAGCUUCUGGACUGAAUUGGCCAAAUAAUAAUGAAACCAACCACCCAACUCUCACUCUAGUAAGAACACUUAGCUUGGAUAGCAAGUGUUUUCACUAUACCUGGGCAACCAUCUACACCAUUUCCGUUCAAAUUUGAACCACUCACACUAACCAUACAUUCUUUUUUCCCCAAGCAUUCCUUCUCAACAAUGCUCUUCGUAGGACCAGCAUUACAAUUGCCAAGACUAAACUUUCCACAGUAACCAGAAGGGUCACCGAAGCUUGCAAACUCCACAGCUACAAUCUUUUUACCGCUUGGACAUUUGAGUGAAGCUUGUGGUCCAG
Molecule: long non-coding RNA, 1118 nt
Filed under: Trifolium pratense (red clover)
Lineage: Eukaryota; Viridiplantae; Streptophyta; Magnoliopsida; Fabales; Fabaceae
Description: long non-coding RNA (TPRA_LNC003244)
Source: RNAcentral